Molecule: long non-coding RNA, 450 nt
Filed under: Cyanistes caeruleus (blue tit)
Lineage: Eukaryota; Metazoa; Chordata; Aves; Passeriformes; Paridae
Description: lncRNA (ENSCCEG00000015308.1)
Source: RNAcentral
GUCUUCUAGUACCAGGAUGAUGAGUGAGAAGGUGUGGUGAGAUUUCUCUGCAAAUCUGUCUCUGAAGUUUGGGCCAAGUCUGCUAUGCCUAGAUAAGAACUAUCAGUGGUGAAUGCAGUUGUCUUUAACAAUUCAUUGGUGUGGGGCGGAUUCUCUGCGUGUGUUUGCAGAGCAUUGAACAGAGCACAGCUCCAGUCCUCCUUGGGGCUGCAAAAUGAAGAUGAUGUUGAUUCCUGGUUUCAUUUACAGCACUUUGAUAUUUAUGUUGUGGCCCUGCUGUAGAAGAAAAGUGUGAUUCUGUAAAUUCUUCAGUCUUGUCUCCUGGUGUUGAAAAUGGGCAACACUGUGCUUGGUGGGAUCACAACAGUAUUGUUGCAGGCAUAAAUAGAGAUGGGAUCAGCAGUGUGGCUGUGCAAGUUGGGUAGAAAAAUAAAUUGAGGCAGAAAAACA